UUUUGCUUUACUACAUAGAUAUACGUACCACAGUUUCUCAUCAAGUAUUUUAUUGAUCUUCUUAAAUCUAAUUGUUAAUGUAGCAUUGAAAUUUACAAGCAUAACAAAGAAGAAAGAAUAGCAAGAACCUGGGGUACUACAGCACCCGGUUUACCUUAUGUCGAGGAAGCUAUUAGCGCUGCUGGAAACUGGCUGAUUGGUGGUGAUUUAGAGGUUAUAGAACCCAUCAAGUAUAAUGAUGGUCUUGAUCACUUCCGGCUUUCCCCUUCACAGCUCCGUGACGAGUUUGUGAGGCGCAACGCAGAUGCUGUGUUUGCCUUCCAGCUCAGAAAUCCUGUGCACAAUGGGCAUGCUCUAUUGAUGACUGACACGCGCAGUCGUCUUCUGGAGAUGGGAUAUAAGAAUCCGGUCCUCUUGCUUCAUCCAUUGGGAGGUUAUACAAAAGCAGAUGAUGUACCACUUUGUUGGCGAAUGAAGCAACAUGAGAAGGUACGUGACCUCUUAAAUAUGUUACUAUCUACCUAGCAAUGGGGAGCCAAUCUUUUUGCAUUUUCCUUUUUUGUGUGCUUUCUCUUCAUAUUCCUUUUACAACUAUUAAGAAUUUGAGCUAAUUAAUUUUUACAUCGGGUCAAACAGUGUCAUGCUGAAAAAAGAAGUAAUAUUGUGGGACAAAAGUAUAUUUUGGUACAAUGUUAGAACUGUUGCUGAUCAUGACGUGAUUCGUUCUUGUAUCCCGAAGUUCCAUUUAGGGCUUGCCUAGGAAAUGAGUAAAAUCAACUGUUUGUCCCUAAUAUGAUUGGACACUUUGAUAACUUUAAAAAGGUUACAUUUUAAAAAGUUUAAAGCUUAAUUUAGAUGAAGAGAAACAUUAUUUUUUUUAAUUUUUCAACUUAUUUAUUAUAAGUAAAUAUGUGUACGUGAACUUUUGAGCAUAGCUAUUUCAAUGUUGAUUUUCAUUAGCAGAUUGUUCAUGAUGUGCUUUUAUGCAAUAUUUUCCUUUAAAUUGACAACAUAUGUCAAAAAAAAAAGUCGUUUUGUGUUUUCUUCACAAAUUUUUUUUUCGUUUUCGAAAAUUCGUUUUCGAAAACGGGAAAGAGAACACGUUUUCAUCGUUUUGAAAAAUCGAAAACAGAAAACGGCCCGAAAACAGUAAAGAGAACAGGGCCUAAAUAAUUUAAUUUGGGAGUGCCCCAAUCAAUUAUCUCAUAAAACAUUGUCCAGGUUCAUCCUCCCAAAUUUUACACUCCACUGGAGACCCCCACAUAAAUCCAACACCGGAAUUCCACCCAAAUAUUUCUUUCCCAGAAUACCCCUCACUACAAUUUUCUUUCCCAAAAGUCCCUCUACCACAAUUUUAAUUCUCAAUUUUCCUUAUAAUCUUUCACACUAAGGACAAAUUUUGUUCCUUUAAUAUUCCCACUUUCUUAAAUUUUGUUUUUCUUAAUUUUGUUAUUCCCAAAAUAUCCUUUUCUCUCUCAUUCACACGCUCUCCCUCCAAAUAAUAUAUAAUUCCUUCAAACCAACCCACCAACGAAAUAAAAAGACAGAAAUCUCUUCUGCCGCUCCAAAUGGCAGCCAUGGCGCUUUUCCUUAACAUAGCCACUCCUUCCUCCGUCUCUUACCCAAAACUGCCCAAAUCCCACCUCCCUCCACCCUUACUCCUCCCCCUCCACCACCACUCCACCGCCAGAACCCGAUCUGGUACCAAGAUUUCUGCCUCUCUGAUUGACCCGGAUGGAGGCCGACUUGUCGAGCUUUUUGUUCGAGAAUCUGAGAAGGAUUCGAAAUUGAAGCAGGCCAUGGGCUUGCCUCAGAUCAAACUCUCCAAGAUUGACCUUCAAUGGGUCCAUGUGCUCAGCGAGGGCUGGGCCAGCCCAUUGAAGGGGUUCAUGAGAGAGUCUGAGUUCCUCCAAACGCUUCAUUUUAACUCGCUCCGACUCAAUGACGGGUCGGUUGUCAACAUGUCGGUCGCGAUCGUUCUGGCCAUUGAUGAUGUCCAGAAGGGUCGGAUCGGGUCGUCCACCAGCGUUGCGCUUGUGGAUCAGAAUGACAACCUCGUUGCUAUCUUGAACGAGUAAGAUAAUUUUCUCUAAUUUUUCUAUGGAAAUUUGUUGGCUGAAUUCUAUUGAGUUUUUAAGUGAUUAAUUAUGUGAACGAUGCACUUGUGAUGGAAUUAUGCUUCUCUGAGUGAUGAAUUAUUUCUGUUACGAGUCUUUUUAUUUAUAUAUGGAGUUACUAUGAAUUUUAAUGCUAAUGAAUAUCUUCUUGAUCGGUAUUAGAUAUAGAUAAUUUGUAAUUGUUAAGAAGGGGUUGCCUGUCCUGGCGUGAAAUUUUAGUUUUAGAACUUGAUAUACAUUGAAUGCGCUGAAUUUUUAAUUUUUUAAUUUUUAAUUAUGUUUUUCCCUAUCAAACUGAAAUGUUUCUUAUUAGUUAGUUUUAAAUUAUGGCUUCUCAUGGAAUUAGCUAGAAAUUUUGAUUUAUUUUAACUCUUUUUGCAGCCUAAUUGUAUCUUCAUAGCUAUUGCAGAGUUUCUUGCUCAAGUUGUGCUGACGUGUAAAACUGAUAAUUCUACAGUCAUGCAAUAAUUUCGAUUUAGUUGGUGAUUUCAUAUGAUAUGCUGCUUGAAUAAUUUCCGGAAUUGGUGUUUCGAGAGUGUAAUAUUCCAAGGUUUAAUCCUCUGGUUGGAUAAGAUGGUGGAGCUUGCAAUUCUUAUUCAAAUGAUUAUUUCCAAGGGCAAGGUCCCACAUUUGUAAAAUGAAAAAAGAUAAAUGAUUGGAGAUUUAGCCCUGUUUGUUUCCCAUUUUCUCCUCAUUAAAAUGAAAAAUAUAACCGUUAUCCAUCACAUCAAGCCACCAAAUUUGAAUUUCUAUAUUUUGUAUAGGACUCAUAACGGCUAUAUGUUUCAUUCUCAUUUUUACAAAAAUGGGAAAUAAACGGGGUUUUACUAUGAUUUGAAAGUCAACUUGCAUCUGAUUGCGAGACCAAGGGUGUUUAAGACAUUUUUGAGCGAAUAGAUUAGUUGAUUUCCAAAUUCAUUGGAAUGGUAUACCAGCAUGAUCAUGUAAUAAUAUUGACAUCCUAUGCAUAUAUGAUUGACUACAUGCAAAUGUUGACCCCUUUACAAAACCCAUGGAUACUUUAACUUCCAUUGACUCUAUACUUGAAUAAGGAAAUUAUUAAGAUUGGAUUAUAGAAGAGUACCAGUUAUUUCGAAAACAAUUGUUCACGUCAUCUUUUGGUACAUGACCAAUAAUUUGCUUUUCAUGAAAAAGUAAAAUUCAUCUGUAGUUUGUAAUCGAGAAACAGAGCUGACACAAUUAUGUACAAUGGUUUUUGAUUAGUUUUUCAGGUAGCUUCCGUAGGACUCCUUUACCAUCAUCUACGAUAUUUUGGCUGUAGAUUAAUUUUCACUUAUCAUUUUCUUUAGACAUGUAGGUUGUGCUCCUAAUCAUAUUAUUAUUAUUAUUAUUAUUAUUAUUAUUAUUAUUAUUAUUAUUAUUAUUAUUAUUUUUGCUUUACUACAUAGAUAUACGUACCACAGUUUCUCAUCAAGUAUUUUAUUGAUCUUCUUAAAUCUAAUUGUUAAUGUAGCAUUGAAAUUUACAAGCAUAACAAAGAAGAAAGAAUAGCAAGAACCUGGGGUACUACAGCACCCGGUUUACCUUAUGUCGAGGAAGCUAUUAGCGCUGCUGGAAACUGGCUGAUUGGUGGUGAUUUAGAGGUUAUAGAACCCAUCAAGUAUAAUGAUGGUCUUGAUCACUUCCGGCUUUCCCCUUCACAGCUCCGUGACGAGUUUGUGAGGCGCAACG
RNAcentral lists this long non-coding RNA (3809 nucleotides) under Olea europaea (common olive). RNAcentral describes it as "long non-coding RNA (OEUR_LNC001577)". The record is from RNAcentral. Lineage: Eukaryota; Viridiplantae; Streptophyta; Magnoliopsida; Lamiales; Oleaceae.